UCUAAUGUUAGAUAUUCUCCAUUCUCCUUUCACACGUAUGUCUCCAUCCAUUUUCUUUAUGAGUUUAUUAUGCUCGAUAAUUUAUUCAUUUUUCAUUUGAAUUAUUCAAUCACGAUUUUUGUUGAACUUGGGAUUUUUUUUUUUUGCAGGUUUGAGCAGUGAUACUAAAGUUUCGUAGUUGAUGAUGCAAAGAACAAGAAUAAAGACCUCUAGCUUUCUCACUGCAUCUAUGGCAAUUAGUGGACAAUCUUUCGAGACAAUGAAUUCAAAUCACAGCCAUAAAAGGGGAAAAAGAGGGUUGAAGAAAAGCAAAGGUGAAGAGAUACAACGUGUCUUAGUAGUUGAUGACCCGUUGUAAGUUCGUUAUUCUUUUGAUAUGCGAUGAAAACAAUUAUUCAGGGAAUUCAUGAAAUGGAUACAUAACAUGACUUAUUAAUUACUUGAACUUUGGGUUGGA
Molecule: long non-coding RNA, 457 nt
Organism: Lycium ferocissimum
Lineage: Eukaryota; Viridiplantae; Streptophyta; Magnoliopsida; Solanales; Solanaceae
Exons: 2
Source: RefSeq, a predicted model, not a curated record